Small nuclear RNA from Talpa occidentalis (Iberian mole), 159 nucleotides. RefSeq annotates it as U1 spliceosomal RNA. The record is from RefSeq and is a predicted model, not a curated record. NCBI's taxonomy places the organism in Eukaryota, Metazoa, Chordata, Mammalia, Eulipotyphla, Talpidae. The transcript has a single exon.
GCACUUACCUGGCAGGGGAGACACCAAGAUGGAAAAGGGGGUCUUCCCAGGGAGGGGCUCACCCACUGCUCUCAGUGUGCUGAUCCCUGCCAGCCCCCAAAUGUGGGAAACUCACCUGCAUUGUUGCUGGUAGUGGGGGCUCCAUUCGUGCUUCCCCUU